CCGAGUUUACGACUCCCAAACCCAAUGUGAACGUUACCAAACUGUUGCCUCGGCGGGAUCUCUGCCCCGGGUGCGUCGCAGCCCCGGACCAAGGCGCCCGCCGGAGGACCAACCAAAACUCUUAUUGUAUACCCCCUCGCGGGUUUUUUACUAUCUGAGCCAUCUCGGCGCCCCUCGUGGGCGUUUCGAAAAUGAAUCA
This 199-nucleotide unclassified non-coding RNA is filed under the name soil metagenome. RNAcentral's name for it is "partial internal transcribed spacer 1". The record is from RNAcentral.